This is a non-coding RNA of Agelaius phoeniceus (red-winged blackbird), 3181 nucleotides long. The record is from RefSeq and is a predicted model, not a curated record. Lineage: Eukaryota; Metazoa; Chordata; Aves; Passeriformes; Icteridae.
CGCCGUGCCGGGCGCUUGUGGCGCCGCGAUCGCGGUAACGGUGCGGGCCCGGUGCGGGCCCGGUGCGCUCCGCUCAGCUCAGCUCCCUUCCGCUCCUCUGUGCUCCGCUCCGCCAUGGCAGCGCCACCCACAGGGCUUGCCAAGUAGAGAUCCCUGCAGUCCUUCUUCAGACUGUCUGGCCAAGCUGCCUCUGUCCACGUCCUUCAGGAGCCUGGGCCCAGCUGAAUUCCACCUGUGACCCUUCUCAGCAGAGCGAGGACAUCGGGCACGGGGGCUGAUGCAGAGGAGGCUGCAUGGCAGUGAGCUGGGACUGAUUGAAUCUCUGCCCUGUGCCAUUGGGGUCACACCUGUGUGGCACCUGUGCCUCCCUGUGGGUGGUGGUGAACCUGAGUUACCUGGUGUUUUGUGCCACGGGGAGAGGCAGAGUGUAAGGAUCAGGCUUUGUGAUGCUGCUGCACGCCUUUGAUGUAGUUUUGGUGUUGCAUAGGUUUUUUGGCAGCCUCUCUUUUGUUCACAGUGUUCUGUUAGCGUGAGGGCCAGCCUUUCACUGUUGGAGCUGGUGAUUCCAGGGGGAUUUAUUUCUGUUUAGGUUUGGAACAGCACAGAAGGGAAGCAGUGCUGCUCUCUGAGGUUGCCUGGCUGCGGGCAGGCAUGGCCCAGCCCCUGCCCGCGCUGGCUGUUCGCUGCUGCUCCCCGCGGGCGCCGGGGUGUUGCUGCAGGCUGCAGGGGUGAUGCGGUAGCGGCGGGGCCGGCUCCGGCUGUCUCACCGGCUGUUCCUGGCACGGAGCGGCGGCGCCAUGGCUCGGGCAGCCCCCGAGGAGGCGCCGGGCUCCUCGGGCAAGCACUACGUGUGCGGGCUGUGCGCGGCCUUCACCAACAUCGCGGUGACGUUCCCCAUCCAGAAGGUGCUGUUCCGGCAGCAGCUGUACGGGCUGCGCGCCGGCGAGGCCGUGCGCCAGCUGCGCCGCGACGGGCUGCGCACGCUCUACCGCGGCAUCCUGCCGCCGCUGCUGCAGAAAACCACCACGCUGGCCCUCAUGUUCGGCCUCUACGAGGAUUUCUCGGCGCUGCUGCUGAGCCACGCCCGCGCCCCCGAGCUGCUGACGCGCAGCGCAGCCGCCGCGCUGGCCGGCACCACCGAGGCCGUGCUCACGCCCUUCGAGCGCGUGCAGACGCUGCUGCAGGACUACAAGCACCACGACAAGUUCACAAACACUUACCAGGCUUUCAGGGUGCUGAGGGCCUACGGGGUGCGGGAGUACUACCGGGGAUUGGUGCCCAUUCUGCUGCGGAACGGGCCCAGCAACGUGCUCUUCUUCGGGCUGCGCGGGCCCAUCAAGCAGUGUCUGCCCGAGGCCACCUCGCACAGCUCUCACCUGAUCAACGACUUCAUCUGCGGGGGGCUGCUGGGCGCCCUGCUGGGCUUCCUCUUCUUCCCUGUGAACGUGGUAAAGACUCGCAUGCAGGCUCAGAUCGGUGGCGAGUUCCAGUCCUUCUCCAAAGUGCUGGUGAAGAUCUGGCUGGAGCGCGACAGGAAGGUGAUCCACCUGUUCCGAGGAGCCCACCUGAACUACCACCGCUCUGUGCUGUCCUGGGGGAUCAUCAACGCCACCUACGAGUUCCUGCUGAAGCUGCUGUGACCCGUCCUGCUUGAGGGGCACCAGCACUCAGCGUCCCCGGUCCCAGGGAGCAGUGCCUGUGCCUGUGGCAGUAUUCCUUUGCUGGCAGGCGAGUUUGCCCAUAACAGAGCUACCAGACAAACACAAGGUGUAAAAGAGGAAAGAGAUGUAGUCUGUAUCACUCCCAAAAUUGCGCUAUGCUCUGUGGUGGGAUGCACUCCACUGCCCAUGUUUAGAACAUGAGAAUCAAGGAGGAGCUGAGGAAAAACAAUUCCAUUGCCUGAUCAUCUUCCCAGUCUCGAUUUUGGAACUGCAUUUUCGGAUGUUUUGGGGUCCUCAUUACUUUGUGCGAAGCUCAAAGGACAUCGAUAGAGAAGGGGAUGGCUGAAGUGCAGAGCUCCCAGCUGCACCUCAGCCUGCUGCAGCCGCUGCAGGGUGCAGCCUGUGGUGACCAUGUCCUCCAGCCGUGGCACUGAACGCGUGACCUCAGCCCAGGCUGGAUCUGUGUGUGUUGUGUGCGUGCUUGUACGUGUGCCUUCCUGUCAAAAGGGAAAAGUGGAAGGAAUGGGACAGCAAACUCACUAAAGCUUUAAAGUGUCCUUCCUCGUUAAAAAACUUGGGAGUUUGUUCUGCUUUUUCCGAGGAUUUUUUAUUUUUUAAUUGCUGCUUUUUCUGUUGCCUCCAGCUGCAGGAUCAGGGAGGUGUCCCUGUGUGUAAGGACACUCCAGCUCCUGCCGCUGCUCAAGCACUUCACAGGCUUUUUGCACUGCCACGUCUUGUCUUUUCUCAGCUCCCUCUGUGGAGUUACCGAUCACGAGGUGUUUGUACCCAAAACUCGGGGUUCUGUCUGCUUGGUGUGUUCUGUUAAAGGUUCUGCAGCACAGGAGUGGCACGGGCAAGGUGAGAGUCCUGGGUGACCUGCUUCAGUGGAGGUCUGUAGGUAUAGUGGAGACGAAAAGCCAAAGAUGACCUUGGAAGCAGGGAGCAGGAAAGGUGGAGUGCUUGGGGAUGUGUUUCAGGACUUCUGUUGGCAAACUUUGAAAGGGACUGACAGCAAUCUGUGUGUUACGGACACAGGAGAUGAGAGAGAGGAGACUUGAGGCUUUAGAUACAGGGACAGAAGAGCGAGCACAACCCUGAGCUAGAUGAGGGUCCCAGCAGAAGUGUUUGAGUCUCCCUGAGGGCUUCCUCUUCAAUUAAACUACACAUUCACAUAUAAACCAAAACACUUUGGAUGAUCGGGAGCAGCAAAGCUUUCAGACACUGCUUUCAAUUUAGUCUUUACCUAAGUCUUGGAGGGGCUAUUGCUUUUCUGAAUUUGAGUUUUCCAUUUGCUAAAACUGUCUUCCAAAAUUGAUUCUAAUCAGUGUGUUGUAAUCAUACAGUCCUGAGCUUCAGACAGCAUGGGUGGGCACAAGAGCGAGUUCCUGCAUCCCAGUGGUGAUUAUCCAUCUAAAUAAAAUGUUUACUGGAUGUUUGUUACUGGCAGAAUCUGAUUUUUACCAGUGUACCUUCUUUUUGUAAUCACUCCUUGAUGGAAUAAAAACAAAAUCUGCAUCCUG